This is a long non-coding RNA of Sapajus apella (tufted capuchin), 128 nucleotides long. RefSeq lists it as uncharacterized. The record is from RefSeq and is a predicted model, not a curated record. The transcript is spliced from 3 exons. NCBI's taxonomy places the organism in Eukaryota, Metazoa, Chordata, Mammalia, Primates, Cebidae.
GACUUGCCUUGUCUCAGAUGAGACUUUGGACUCUGGACUUUUGAGUUAAUGCUGAAAUGGGUUAAAACUUUGGCAGACUCUUGGGAAGACAUGAUUUGUUUUGAAAGGUGAGAAGGACAUUAGAUGCC